GCCUUCAUGGUGUAAUGGUAGCACACUGGGCACAUAUUUGAGAGGUCCAGGUUUGAAUCCCAGUGGGGGCA
RNAcentral lists this transfer RNA (71 nucleotides) under Stegodyphus mimosarum. It matches the Rfam family "tRNA". From Rfam's summary of the family: Transfer RNA (tRNA) molecules are approximately 80 nucleotides in length. Their secondary structure includes four short double-helical elements and three loops (D, anti-codon, and T loops). The record is from Rfam by way of RNAcentral. Lineage: Eukaryota; Metazoa; Arthropoda; Arachnida; Araneae; Eresidae.